RNAcentral lists this long non-coding RNA (234 nucleotides) under Elaeis guineensis (African oil palm). Its description in RNAcentral is "long non-coding RNA (EGUI_LNC065549)". The record is from RNAcentral. Lineage: Eukaryota; Viridiplantae; Streptophyta; Magnoliopsida; Arecales; Arecaceae.
UCAAUGUGGCAAAGAGGGCCACUGGAAGAAGAAUUGCAAGGAGUAUCUUACAACCGUGAAAUCAGCAAAUAUUGCUAAAGAUUUAUAUAUGAUACAAACUAAUUUAUAAUUAAAUACUUCAAUAUCAGAUUCUUGGGUAUUGGAUAUCGCCUGUAGUUCACACCUUUGCAAAUCUUUGCAGGGUCUAUAAGAAGUAAGAAAUCUAAAUAAAGGUGAAUUCGAGCUGUUCGGCAU